GGUCGGAUAGCUCAGUUGGUUAGAGCAUCUGAAAUAUAACCAGAAGGUCCUGGGUUCAAUCCCCAGUCUGGUCA
RNAcentral lists this transfer RNA (74 nucleotides) under Lentinula edodes (shiitake mushroom). Its description in RNAcentral is "tRNA-OTHER". It matches the Rfam family "tRNA". From Rfam's summary of the family: Transfer RNA (tRNA) molecules are approximately 80 nucleotides in length. Their secondary structure includes four short double-helical elements and three loops (D, anti-codon, and T loops). The record is from RNAcentral. Lineage: Eukaryota; Fungi; Basidiomycota; Agaricomycetes; Agaricales; Omphalotaceae.